UCGCAACCUGUUGGUGAGAUCUUACUGAGACACAUGUGAGCAUAUUCCGGAAAAACAGCCACGCUAAAAAAUGUUUACAAGUAUUGCUCGAUCAGCUAAUCAGCUGAUCGAGCUCGCAGCGCGGAAACGUGUUAUGCCUGCUAUCACAUGUCGCCCGCGUGAGAGCCGACUUCUCAGCUGACGCGGCGUCAUCCGUCUGUUUAUAGUACUUAUUAGUCUUUGUUCAAAAUCGCAAACAUCCUACGACAAACAUCCUAAAUAUACGAUACGCUCUCUUCCUUCAACAUAAUUAAUGUGCAUUGGGAAUAUUAGAUAAAUAAGGAAGGGUAUUUAGAAAUCAUAAAAGAUUGGGGGAAUAGGGACGCUUUCUUAGUGGAAAGUGUAAUUCUUGCGUACAAAAGACCGGAAAUCCCAAUACGCGCGUGCGUUUACACUACAAACAUUAUUAUCCCCUCCCAUUAUGUUAUAUAUACACAAACACCAGCACUUAGCUCUUAAUGGCCUUAUUAUUGUCAUAAAAAUUUGGUUUUACUAUCAGAGCUCCAAAGUGAGAUAAAAUGUUUUUAUUUUUAAAAUCCUGGAGUCAUCGUUUAGAUUUUUGUUCUUACAGCGAAUAGUUUUUACGUUUUAUCCUAGCACUUCCUAAUUGUAGGAGAGGCGACAAAUUGUUAAUUUAUAAUAGUAUAUCGACGAACGAUAUGCCUUUGUCUGUGAGUGACUAUGCCACUCACCUGCGAUUAAACUCUCGAAAAUAUCCGACGAAGCACUGCUUUUAGAUGCCAACUAUUACAGUGGUCAGAAAUAAGAUUAUAUACGAAAUGUGCGUUUGGUUUGGCCACUUGUUACCCGCUUUAUUAAUCGAUAUCUUUUAAAAAUGCACAGGUGCUCAACAAAGAAUAUGGAAAUUGUACGAUAUGAUAAUCAAGUAUCAGGACGCAAUUAGUUACUUUGGGAUGUACAAUUGGACACACAGCGAGGAUAACAUUCAGGUAAUGUCGCGAAUCCUGGACAAAAAUGAUCAGUUUUUAUUCGACUUUAACAUGAAAGGUUUGGCCGAAAUAUUUGGAGGAUCAAUUUAUAGGUAUACGCCUUUACCUGCUUAAGGAUAAUUUAAGUACUUUGGAAGCCAGUCGUAUCAAAUGGAAGAGUUGAACAACACACUGCCAACGAAACAGCUCGCGUGAAGGAAGAAGACUGGAAGUCGUAUCAUAUGUUGUCAUUUUCAACUGAGUCACCCGAAAUUCGGAGCAUACACGGGCACGUUUGUGUGCGUCAUCCUCUCUCAGUGCUAUUGGUGCUAUGGGAUUAGAUUUCUGACCAGACUGUCAUAAAUAUUUGAAAUAAAACAUGACUGGAGAUAUA
This is a long non-coding RNA of Odontomachus brunneus, 1362 nucleotides long. RefSeq lists it as uncharacterized. Lineage: Eukaryota; Metazoa; Arthropoda; Insecta; Hymenoptera; Formicidae. The record is from RefSeq and is a predicted model, not a curated record. The transcript has 3 exons.